RNAcentral lists this non-coding RNA (92 nucleotides) under chicken gut metagenome. Its description in RNAcentral is "Cyclic di-GMP-I riboswitch". It matches the Rfam family "c-di-GMP-I riboswitch aptamer". Rfam says of the family: GEMM was predicted in a large-scale screen for bacterial structured RNA regulatory elements. Genes associated with GEMM are involved in a diverse array of functions, including chemotaxis regulation, signal transduction, secretion and chitin. The record is from RNAcentral.
GAAACGGCAAACCGCGGGAAACCGCGGGGCGCAAAGCUACGGGGGCUACGGCGGGAAGCAGAUCCCAUCCGCUAAGCCAGCCCGGCUGCCAA